Molecule: transfer RNA, 67 nt
Filed under: Moxostoma anisurum (silver redhorse)
Lineage: Eukaryota; Metazoa; Chordata; Actinopteri; Cypriniformes; Catostomidae
Description: tRNA-Ser
Source: RNAcentral
AGGAGGGCCCCAAGGCAACAAGUACUGCUAAUACUUGGACCCACGGUUAAACUCCGUGGCUUCCUCG